RNAcentral lists this transfer RNA (5416 nucleotides) under Pseudo-nitzschia multiseries. Its description in RNAcentral is "23S ribosomal RNA". The stretch from base 2677 to 5411 matches the Rfam family "Bacterial large subunit ribosomal RNA". The record is from RNAcentral. Lineage: Eukaryota; Bacillariophyta; Bacillariophyceae; Bacillariales; Bacillariaceae.
UUGAGUAAAGGUAAGGUUAAAGGUGUAUUGACUAAUUUUAUAACUUACAAGUACUAUAUUAACGAAAUAACUGCUGUAAAUAAAUAUACUAUUUUUAAAUAGUGAUAGUUGAAUGACAAAAUGAGAGUAAACCACCGUAUAAAUAUAUAACUUAUUGAAAAAACGGCAGACUAUUAAGUAUCAAAUCAAUUAAAAUCAGUUACUGAUCAUUUUAGACAAUUUUUACCAUAAAUCUGUGCAAUUUGUCUGUUUUUGUGUAUGAGUGGUUGCGGUCUCAGAAGGGCACUUUAAGGGUAACCCCUUAAAAAUCUGAAAUUUAGAGAUAUUUAUGAAAAAAUUAAGUCUGGUGGUACGUUUUUCACUCAAAAUAAGAUUUAAUUUUUGAAAUAUAUCUUGGCAACACACAAAUUUUCUAUGUUGAAAAAAAAAGAAAUUAAAGUAAAUAGAAUUUAUUAAAAUUUCAAGAUUCAAAAACUAAUACUGAUAUAUGUAACAUUAUUUACGUAGUUACUCUUACAGAAGUACUUAAAUUGAAAAUAUUUAUGAAAAAACUAAGUUUGAUAAUUAGAUGAAAUUUUCACAACUUUACGUACCAAUCAGGUUUGUUUUUAAAUUCUACUUAUUUUUUUACACCAUCUUUUUAUUAUCGUUUUUUUUCAAGUGUAAUGGGAAGUAAAAACUCGAUCUCGAGUUUUUAUAAUUUUCAGACUAGGUACUUCCAUUUUAACAAGUACCAUACGCGUUUUGGUAAGUUUUUUGACGUUUUUUUCACCUUGUUUUUUUUCAAAUGUAAUGGAGGAAGUAAAAACUCGGGCUCGAGUUUUUAGUUUGACUUGUAAAAUCACUGGUUUUUGAUCAUUUUUUUUCCACUAAAAUGGGGGAUAAAAACUCGGCUUCGAGUUUUUAACCUUCGUAAGGGUCUGUUUUGUCCAUUUUAACCUGUACCAAUGGUGUUUCAACCUGUUUUUUAAGGUUUUAUGGGAAAUAAAUAUUUCAGCGGAAUUUAAAUUUUACAAUAAUUCACCGUAAAGAAUUUUAUUAGAACAAUUUUUACAACUUUGAAAUUUUUACAACUUUACGUACCAAUCUGGUUUGUUUUUAAAUUCUACUUAUUUUUUUACACCAUUUUUUUAUUAUCGUUUUUUUUCAAGUACAUCGGGGGGGGAUAGGUAUAGAGGCAAUAUUAUAAGAGUAUGUUCUUUUUGUUUAUAGGUUAUGGGUAGUUAGGGGUAAGUUCUUAUCAUUCUUAUCAAGUUAUGUUACUAUAUGAAGUAGGUAUAAGUGUAUGUAUAUUUAUAUGCAUAUGCUUAUACCUACUUCAUAGUACUUAAUAGCUAUACUUAUAAGUGUAUUAAUGCAAGUACUUCUCUUUUCAAUGUAUAGUUAAGUAAAGGUAAGGUUAGAGGUGUUGUUAGAGAUGUAUUAACAGUUCUUAAUAGGCAAGGUUAGAGGUGUAUUAGUGUAAGUACUUUUCUUUUCAAUGUAUGGUUAAAUGGGGGUAAGCUUAGAGAUGUUAUUAGAGGUGUAUUAACAGUUCUUAAUAGGUAUAGUUAGUUAGUAUAUUCUUCUCAAUAAAUAGUUAAAUAAGAGUAAGUAUUAACAGUCCUUAAUAGGCAAGAUUAGAGGUGUAUUAUUGUAAGUACUUUCCUUUUCAAUGUAUGGUUAAAUAGGGGUAAGCUUAAAGAUGUUAUUAAAGGUGUAUUAACAGUUCUUAAUAGGUAUUGAUAGUGUUGCUUCAUGAAUCUUGAAAUUUUAAUAAAUUCUAUUUACUUUAAUUCCUUUUUUCAACAUAGAAAAUUUGCGUAUUGCCAAGAUAUAUUUCAUUUAUUUUGAGUAAAAAAUGCACCAUCAAACUUAGUUUUUUCAUAAAUAUCUCCAAAUUUCAAGUUUUUAAGGGAUUACCCUUAAAGUGCCCUUCUGAGACCGCAACCACUCAUACUCAAAAACAGACAAAUUGCACAGAUUUAUGGUAAAAAUUGUCUAAAAAGAUCGGUAACUGAUUUGAUACUUAAUAAUCUACCGUUUUUUCAAUAAGUUAGGCAUUUGUGUGAGAGUAACUACGUAAAUAAUGUUACAUACAUCAAUAUUGGUAGUAUUAGUUUUUGAAUUUUGAAAUUUUAAUAAAUUCUAUUUACUUUAAUUCCUUUUUUUCAACAUAGAAAAUUUGCGUAUUGCCAAGAUAUAUUUCAUUUAUUUUGAGUAAAAAAUGCACCAUCAAACUUAGUUUUUUCAUAAAUAUCUCCAAAUUUCAAGUUUUUAAGGGGUUACCCUUAAAGUGCCCUUCUGAGACCGCAACCACUCAUACUCAAAAACAGACAAAUUGCACGGAUUUAUGGUAAAAAUUGUCUAAAAAGAUCGGUAAUUGGCUUGACCUUUAAUGGUACAUUGUUUUUUUCGAUUGGAUCGAAAGUUAUAAGUUAUUUUUGAUUUUGGUAGUUUCGUCUGAUUUUUUAAUCAUAGGCAAGUUCUCAGGUACUUCACAAGUUUGUGGUAAAACAGAGUUUUUAUCGUCUAAUGGUUAGGACGCUACUCUUUCACAGUAGAAAUACGGGUUCAAAUCCCGUUAAAAACAAACGGGACAGUAAUUAAUGGCGAAUAUAACUCAGUUGGUUAGAGUGUUAGGUUGUGGUUCUAAAAGUCACAGGUUCGAAUCCUGUUAUUCGCCUCUUUAACGAUUAUAAAAAGUUUUUACAGCAUUAAAUGGAUACUUAAGCAUUAAGAUCAAAAAUGGGCGUUUUAUAACGAAAUAUUACAAGGAGUAGAUUAUAAUGCUUAGAUCUGUAAUUCCCCAUAAAUUCGGAAAACUGAUCUUCAACUAAUGAAGAAUUGUCUAAAAUCACAUUCUAGGCAAAAAAUUUGGUGAAUUGAACCAUCUAAGUAACCAAAGUCCAAAAAUCAAACGAGGUGUUGUUAGUAGUGGCGAGCGAACACAGCAAAAGACUUGAAAAUCGAAAAGUCUAUUUAAUAUUUACAAUAGCCGUAGUAUGGUAGCCUAAAUGACAGGAUAGCCCUGUAAAAUAGAAUUUAGAUUUUCGUUUAGUAAGAUGAACUAAGUCAUAGUUUGUCUGAAUAUUGGGGGACCACCCUCAAAGUCUAAAAAUCUUAAUGACUGAUAGUGAAUAGUACCGUGAGGGAAAAGUGAAAAAGACUUUGCGAAAGUGAAAAGACUUUGAAAUUUAAUGCUAACAAUCUGUCGUAGUUUUUAAAAUGACGACGUACCUUUUGCAUAAGGGACCAACAAGUUUAUUUUAGUGGCGAGCUUAAGUAAUUAAAUACGUAGGCGUAAAGAAAUUAAGUUUUAAAAGGCUAUUAUUAGUCUCUGAAAUAAGACCCGAAACUAAGUGAUCUAGUCAUGAACUGGUUGAUGUUUAGGCGGCAACGCCUUUCGGAGGACCGAACCCGUGUAUGUGGAAAAAUACUGGGACGAUUUGUGAUUAGGGGUGAAAGGCCAAUCAAACUUAGAGAUAGCUGGUUUUCUGCGAAAUCUAUUUUAGUAGAGCGUUUAAAUAACUUUUUCAAAGGUAGAGCUCUCGAUAAAUGAUGGGGACUUAACGUUUUACUGAAUUUAUUGAAACUUCGAAUGUUGAGUGUAAUGAAUUUAAACAGACAGACUGUGAGUGCUAAGAUUCACGGUCAAAAGGGAAACAGCCCAGAUUAUUAACUAAGGCUCUUAAAAAUAAUUAAGUGAAAAAACUGUGAAAAAAUGUUGACAACCGAAAAGUAAGCUUAGAAGCAGCUAUCCUUUAAAGAAAGCGUAACAGCUCAUUGGUUUAGUUUUCUUGCAUUGAAAAUGUAUGGAACUAAAAUUAUUUGCCGAAGUUGUAAAUUUAUGAAAAUUAAAUGGUAGCAGAACGUUCUGUAAGUUUAAGAAGUUUUAUAGUGAUAUAAAAUGGAAACAUCAGAAAUGAAAAUGUUGGUAUGAGUAACGAUAAACAAUGUGUAAAACAUUGUCGCCUUAAGUUCAAGGUUUCCAAAACAAGGCUAAUCCGUUUUGGUAUUCUAUUUAUAGUUAAUCGGUCUCUAAGGAUAAAGACGAAAGUCUUAGUUUAAUGAGGGAAAAAUUAUUUUUUAUUUUUUAAAAGUGACAAAAUAUGAAUAUUAUCUUUAUUUUAUGGUUUAAAUUUAGGUUUUAUAAUAUUUUCUAGAAAUAGCUUUUAAAUGAAUUAACCGUACCCUAAACCGACACAGGUGAACAAGUUUAGUAAACUAAGGCGCUUGAGAGAAUUAUGUUGAAGGAACUCGGCAAAAUGACUCCGUAACUUCGGAAUAAGGAGUGACUUCAUGAGGGCAACCUUGUGAAGUUGUCACAAAAUCGGGGACAGCAACUGUUUAACAAAAACACAGGUUUCUGCUAAUUCGUAAGAAGAUGUAUUGAAACUGACGCCUGCCCAGUGCUGCAAGAUUAAAGGAAAAAGUCAUUUGGCUUUGACCCUAACUCCCAGUAAACGGCGGCUGUAACUCUGACGGUCCUAAGGUAGCGAAAUUCCUUGGCAUUUGAUUGGUGUCCUGCAUGAAUGGCGUAAUGACUGUCCUACUGUCUCCAACAUAAACUCAGUGAAAUUGAAUUUUUCGUGAAGAUGCGAAAUUCUUGCAGCUAGACGGAAAGACCCCGACACCUUUACUGCAAUUAUAUAUUGUAAUAAGAUUUUUUUUGUGUAGGAUAAGUGGGAAGUUAUUUAACAAUUCUUCGCGCAAGCGAAUAAAUUAAACAGCGUUGAAAUACCACUCUAAAAAUUUUUUAUUACUUAUUGUUUAAGACAGUGUAUAAUGGGUAGUUUGACUGGGGCGGUCGCCUCCUAAAGAGUAACGGAGGCGUACAAAGGUAAACUUAAGUUGAACUUUAACAACUUUAAAGCAUAAUAGUAUAUGUUUGCCUGACUGUAAGAUUGACAAAUCAAGCAGGGACGAAAGUCGGUUAUAGUGAUCCGAUGAUUCUGAGUGGAAAUGGUCAUCGCUCAACGAAUAAAAGGUACGUCGGGGAUAACAGGCUAAUCACCCUCUAGAGACCAUAUCGACGGGGUGGUUUGGCACCUCGAUGUUGGAUUAUCGCAUCCUGGAGCUGAAGACGGUUCCAAGGGUUUGGCUGUUCGCCAAUGAAGGCGGUACAUGAUCUGAGUUCAGAACGUUGUGAAACAGUUUGGUCCCUAUCUACUGUAAGUGCAAAAAAUUGAGAGGGGUAAACCUUAGUACGAGAGGACCGGGAAAAGUAAAUCCAUGGUGAAUCGAUUGUUAUACCAAUAGCAUAGUCGAGUAGCUACAUUUAUAAUAAAUAAUCACUGAAAGCAUCUAAGUGAGAAAUUAGCCUCAAUACAAAUUUUUUUUUAAAGUGUGAUAGACUAUCACAUCGAUAGGCCUAGUGUGUAAGAACUGCAAGGUUUUUAGCUAAUAGGUACUAAAUUAAUUUUAAUAUACUUUU